Etheostoma cragini (Arkansas darter) is the source of this 106-nucleotide long non-coding RNA. RefSeq lists it as uncharacterized. The transcript has 2 exons. The record is from RefSeq and is a predicted model, not a curated record. Lineage: Eukaryota; Metazoa; Chordata; Actinopteri; Perciformes; Percidae.
UUCAACACGGCCGGCUGGAAAGAGCAGGUUCCCUUAAAUAUGUGGUCAGAGAGAGGCACCACACUGGGAAAAGAAAAAACAUUUUGCUGGAGAUUGUGGAAAAACA